Pipistrellus kuhlii (Kuhl's pipistrelle) is the source of this 105-nucleotide small nuclear RNA. NCBI's taxonomy places the organism in Eukaryota, Metazoa, Chordata, Mammalia, Chiroptera, Vespertilionidae. The record is from RefSeq and is a predicted model, not a curated record.
GUUCUUUCUUCAGCCAAUGUAUACUAAAAUCAAAUGAUAUAGAGAAGAUUGGCCUGGCCCCUGCAUGAGAAUGACAUACAAAUUUGUGAAGUGCUCCACAUUUUU